RNAcentral lists this ribosomal RNA (498 nucleotides) under uncultured bacterium. Its description in RNAcentral is "partial 16S ribosomal RNA". It matches the Rfam family "Bacterial small subunit ribosomal RNA", at positions 29 to 507 of the family's 1533-position model. The record is from RNAcentral.
AGCGAACGCUGGCGGCGUGCCUAGCACAUGCAAGUCGAACGUGAAAAGGGGAACCUGAGUACCGUGGCGUACGGGUGAGUAACGCGUAGGUAAUCUACCCCAGAAUCUGGAAUAACCUGCCGAAAGGCGGGCUAAUACUGGAUAGAGCGAGGGAACUCGUAAGAGAGUUUUUCGGGAAAGGGAGCCCGCAAGGGCCUUCGUUCUGGGAUGAGCCUGCGUCUCAUUAGCUAGUUGGUAAGGUAACGGCUUACCAAGGCGAUGAUGAGUAGCUGGUCUGAGAGGAUGAUCAGCCACACUGGAACUGAAACACGGUCCAGACUCCUACGGGAGGCAGCAGUGGGGAAUCUUGCGCAAUGGACGAAAGUCUGACGCAGCCACGCCGCGUGAGUGAAGAAGGCCUUCGGGUUGUAAAGCUCUGUCGGAUGGGACGAACAUCUUCAUAGUGAAUAGCUAUGAGGACUGACGGUACCAUCAAAGGAAGCACCGGCUAACUCCGUG